RNAcentral lists this ribosomal RNA (207 nucleotides) under uncultured Methanomicrobiales archaeon. RNAcentral describes it as "partial 16S ribosomal RNA". It matches the Rfam family "Archaeal small subunit ribosomal RNA", at positions 1132 to 1338 of the family's 1478-position model. Lineage: Archaea; Methanobacteriati; Methanobacteriota; Methanomicrobia; Methanomicrobiales. The record is from RNAcentral.
UGGGCAACGGUAGGUCAGCAUGCCCCGAAUUAUCUGGGCUACACGCGGGCUACAAUGGGUGGGACAAUGGGUAUCGACACCGAAAGGUGAAGGCAAUCUCCUAAACCCAUCCGUAGUUCGGAUUGUGGGCUGCAACUCGCCCACAUGAAGCUGGAAUCUGUAGUAAUCGUGUCUCAAAAUGGCACGGUGAAUAUGUCCCUGCUCCUU